RNAcentral lists this ribosomal RNA (806 nucleotides) under uncultured bacterium. Its description in RNAcentral is "bacterial SSU rRNA". It matches the Rfam family "Bacterial small subunit ribosomal RNA", at positions 58 to 874 of the family's 1533-position model. The record is from RNAcentral.
CAAGUCGAACGGUGACGACCAGCUUGCUGGUCUGAUCAGUGGCGAACGGGUGAGUAACACGUGAGCAACCUGCCCUUCACUCUGGGAUAACCACGGGAAACGGUGGCUAAUACCGGAUACGAGACGUACCUGCAUGGGUGGCGUCUGGAAAGAUUUAUCGCCUAAGGAUGAGCCCGCGUAGGAUUAGCUUGUUGGUGAGGUAAAGGCUCACCAAGGCGACGAUCCUUAGCCGGCCUGAGAGGGUGACCGGCCACACUGGGACUGAGACACGGCCCAGACUCCUACGGGAGGCAGCAGUGGGGAAUAUUGCACAAUGGGUGCAAGCCUGAUGCAGCAACGCCGCGUGAGGGACGACGGCCUUCGGGUUGUAAACCUCUUUUAGCAAGGAAGAAGCGAAAGUGACGGUACUUGCAGAAAAAGCGCCGGCUAACUACGUGCCAGCAGCCGCGGUAAUACGUAGGGCGCAAGCGUUAUCCGGAAUUAUUGGGCGUAAAGAGCUCGUAGGCGGUUUGUCGCGUCUGCUGUGAAAUCCCGAGGCUCAACCUCGGGUCUGCAGUGGGUACGGGCAGACUAGAGUGCGGUAGGGGAGAUUGGAAUUCCUGGUGUAGCGGUGGAAUGCGCAGAUAUCAGGAGGAACACCGAUGGCGAAGGCAGAUCUCUGGGCCGUAACUGACGCUGAGGAGCGAAAGGGUGGGGAGCAAACAGGCUUAGAUACCCUGGUAGUCCACCCCGUAAACGUUGGGAACUAGUUGUGGGGUCCAUUCCACGGAUUCCGUGACGCAGCUAACGCAUUAAGUUCCCCGCCU